UGCACACGCUAGGGGUGUUGGCCCGCAGCACACGCUGUGGGCCGACUGAGAGAGUCCCUUUGAACCUGAUUGAGGUAAUCCUCGCGCAGGGAAGCUGGUCCAAGCACGG
RNAcentral lists this non-coding RNA (109 nucleotides) under Rhodoferax fermentans. Its description in RNAcentral is "TPP sequence". It matches the Rfam family "TPP riboswitch aptamer (THI element)". From Rfam's summary of the family: Vitamin B(1) in its active form thiamin pyrophosphate (TPP) is an essential coenzyme that is synthesised by coupling of pyrimidine and thiazole moieties in bacteria. The previously detected thiamin-regulatory element, thi box was extended, resulting in a new, highly conserved RNA secondary structure, the THI element, which is widely distributed in eubacteria and also occurs in some archaea. The record is from Rfam by way of RNAcentral. Lineage: Bacteria; Pseudomonadati; Pseudomonadota; Betaproteobacteria; Burkholderiales; Comamonadaceae.